GUGUCAGCCGCCGCGGUAAUACGAGCAUCACAAACGUUAUUCGGAAUUACUGGGCUUAAAGGGUGCGUAGGCGGUGCAGCAAGUCGGGAGUGAAAUCCCACAGCUCAACUGUGGAAUUGCUUUCGAUACUGCUGUGCUUGAGUGAGAUAGAGGUAAGCGGAACUUAGGGUGGAGCGGUGAAAUGCGUUGAUAUCCUAAGGAACACCGGUGGCGAAGGCGGCUUACUGGGUCUCUACUGACGCUGAUGCACGAAAGCCAGGGUAGCGAACGGGAUUAGAAACCCUGGUAGUCC
This 292-nucleotide ribosomal RNA is filed under the name uncultured bacterium. RNAcentral describes it as "partial 16S ribosomal RNA". It matches the Rfam family "Bacterial small subunit ribosomal RNA", at positions 505 to 796 of the family's 1533-position model. The record is from RNAcentral.